AACGCACAUUGCGCCCGCCAGCAUCCUGGCGGGCAUGCCUGUCCGAGCGUCAUUUCAACCCUCAGGGCCCGUCCGCGGGACCUGGCGUUGGGGAUCGGCCGCGCCCAUGGAGGCCGGCCGGCCCUGAAAUACAGUGGCGGUCACGUCGCGACCUCCCCCGCGUAGUAGAAUACACCUCGCGGCGGGAAGGCGGCGCGGCCACGCCGUGAAACCCCCUACUUCUCAAGGUUGACCUCGGAUCAGGUAGGAAUACCCGCUGAACUUAA
Molecule: unclassified non-coding RNA, 266 nt
Filed under: uncultured fungus
Lineage: Eukaryota; Fungi
Description: partial contains 5.8S ribosomal RNA, internal transcribed spacer 2, and large subunit ribosomal RNA
Source: RNAcentral